Molecule: ribosomal RNA, 545 nt
Filed under: uncultured archaeon
Lineage: Archaea
Description: bacterial SSU rRNA
Rfam family: Archaeal small subunit ribosomal RNA
Source: RNAcentral
ACGGGGUGCAGCAGGCGCGAAAACUUGGCAAUGCGAGAAAUCGUGACCAGGGAACUCCAAGUGCAUGGGGUAAGACCCAUGCUUUUCUUGACUCUAAAUAGGUCUUGGAAUAAGGGGUGGGUAAGGACGGUGCCAGCCGCCGCGGUAAUACCGGCGCCUCAAGUGGUAGUCGCUUUUAUUGGGCCUAAAACGUCCGUAGCCGGUCUGAUACAUUCGUGGGUAAAUCAACCAGCUUAACUGGUUGAAUUCUGCGAGGACGGUCAGACUUGGGACCGGGAGAGGUGUGGGGUACGCUCAGGGUAGGGGUAAAAUCCUGUCAUCCUGAGCGGACCACCUGUUGCGAAGGCGCCACACUAGAACGGAUCCGACGGUCAGGGACGAAGCCUAGGGGCACGAACCGGAUUAGAUACCCGGGUAGUCCUAGGUGUAAACGCUGUGGAUUUGAUGUUGGGGGUGCUCCGAGCACUCUCAGUGUCGAAGCGAAGGUGAUAAGUCCACUGCCUGGGAAGUACGGUCGCAAGGCUGAAACUUAAAGGAAUUGGCGG